This 106-nucleotide small nucleolar RNA is filed under the name Gossypium arboreum. RNAcentral's name for it is "Plant small nucleolar RNA R71". It matches the Rfam family "Plant small nucleolar RNA R71". From Rfam's summary of the family: R71 is a member of the C/D box family of snoRNAs containing the C (UGAUGA) and D (CUGA) box motifs. Multiple nearly identical copies of this snoRNA have been identified in Arabidopsis, and it is thought to function as a 2'-O-ribose methylation guide for 18S ribosomal RNA. Lineage: Eukaryota; Viridiplantae; Streptophyta; Magnoliopsida; Malvales; Malvaceae. The record is from Rfam by way of RNAcentral.
AUUCCGUGAUGAGGGCACUUUCGUAAUAACUCUUGAACCUUUCCCAUGCCUCAUACAAGGACUCAUGAUCCAUUUGUUGGAAGGUAGUGAUCUCGUUCCUCAACUU